GACGAACGCUGGCGGCGUGCUUAACACAUGCAAGUCGAACGGAAAGGCCCUGCUUUUGUGGGGUGCUCGAGUGGCGAACGGGUGAGUAACACGUGAGUAACCUGCCCUUGACUUUGGGAUAACUUCAGGAAACUGGGGCUAAUACCGGAUAGGAGCUCCUGCUGCAUGGUGGGGGUUGGAAAGUUUCGGCGGUUGGGGAUGGACUCGCGGCUUAUCAGCUUGUUGGUGGGGUAGUGGCUUACCCAGGCUUUGACGGGUAGCCGGCCUGGGAGGGUGACCGGCCACAAUAGGACUAAGGGACGGCCCAGUCUCCUACGGGGGGCAGCGGUGGAGAGUAUUACACAGUGAGCGGAAGCCUGAGGCAGCAGCGCCGCGUGCGGAAUGACGGCCUUCGGGUUGUGAACCGCUGUCGCCUGUGACGAAGCGUGAGUGACGGUAAUGAAUAAAGAAGCACCGGCUAACUACGUG
This 468-nucleotide ribosomal RNA is filed under the name uncultured bacterium. RNAcentral's name for it is "partial 16S ribosomal RNA". It matches the Rfam family "Bacterial small subunit ribosomal RNA", at positions 28 to 507 of the family's 1533-position model. The record is from RNAcentral.